Molecule: long non-coding RNA, 1068 nt
Filed under: Daucus carota (carrot)
Lineage: Eukaryota; Viridiplantae; Streptophyta; Magnoliopsida; Apiales; Apiaceae
Description: long non-coding RNA (DCAR_LNC001418)
Source: RNAcentral
GCAAAUAUUACUUUAAUAGCAUAUUACAAUGUUGACCAUCUUGUACAAUGUCUCAGAAAUUAUUAUUUGAACUGGCUUGUUCCAGUUCAGCAACACAGCUUCUUAUUUUUCCUUAAAACAUAUAAUACAAAUCUGAGCCAAAGUUAAAGAAUGAAGAGGACAACUGUAAAGGAAGAAAAUGUACAAAUAAAUAAAAUAGAGGUGUCAGGAAGAGUAAUAGAUCUAACUUGUCAUGAUAGGGAUUAACCAGAGUAUUAAAUAGUUACUAAAAGCCAAAGCCAAAAAAUAUUUAGUUACUUGGAGGCAAAGUCAAGUCAAUAAGGAUCUGAUCUCUCCAGAUAAGUGAAUAAUGAUCUCUUUUCUCAGAAAACCCUAGCUAAAUUGUACUUUCCUCUAAUCUCUAUAUGUACUUCUCUAUUUCUCCGAUUUAUCUGUGAUUCUACCACUUUCCACGAUAGUUUUCAAUAAGAGAAAAGCAGCAGUGAGGCGGAGAAGGAGUUUCAGGAAGGCAAAGGCGGAAGAUUAUCUGGGCUACGAUGAGGUUAUAGAUUUAAUUUUUCUUCAAAAAAAGGCGUAUUACAGGACACCCUGGCCUGCCUAGGAUUUUUUCCCUAGGAACCUGCCGACUAGCUCCAUAGCCAACACAGGUAGGUAAAUCGGACUAACGCCCGGGAGCUGGUGAGGUUCGAACCCGUGACCCUUUGGAUCAACGCAAGGCCUCGUUUCCACUGGGACAGCUCUCACACUCAGAUUUAAUUUUUCCACGUGCAAGACAAAAGUUGGAACAUCUUAACAUGUGCAUAUNGUGAGGUUCGAACCCGUGACCCUUUGGAUCAACGCAAGGCCUCGUUUCCACUGGGACAGCUCUCACACUCAGAUUUAAUUUUUCCACGUGCAAGACAAAAGUUGGAACAUCUUAACAUGUGCAUAUCACCACACAGUCCUUUUUACAGUUUGUGCAUUACUUCCAGAACUAGUGCUGCACCUAUGCUUGCAUGUGUAGGACAUUUUCUCAGCCAAACAGUCCAAUUAAGCACUCCAAGCGAUUCAGGAAAAUCAAAUUAAACU